CUGACUGAAAGGCAACCACAGCAGUGGCAACAGAAAAAAAUGUGAAGGAUACUUCAUUUACCAAGCAAUUUUUUUGUUAGGAGAAAUAGGUUUCCAGUCAACACUCUGUGAUGUGCCUGACCAGAGAAGAAUGGCUUAUGUAAAUCUUUAAAGAGAGUCACUCAGCUGGAUUCAUCAUGUCAGUGAAGCUCCCUAAGAGGCUGAGCUGCAAAAAGAAAAAAUCACCUAAAGACAAUGCCCAGGCAGAGGUCCUAAUUAAACUGGGAUUAGAGGCCUUCUGGACUACACCACUGGACCCAGCAUCUAUGCUGGACAUCAGCACUUGGACUCUGGAGAACCAAACCCCUCUAGAGCCCAAGGAUCUACCAAAUGCUUUCCUUCAACGUCUUUGGCUGCUUAGCCCAGAUGCACGAAGUCCCUGUUGCAAACCUCUGCACAAUGUUCUGAAUAAUGUCAAUAAAUCCCCUGAGGAGAUUAUUGAUGGUAUUGGUGAAGAAAGCAAGUGUGCCAUCAACCCCCUUGAUCUAGUUACAGCUGUAUAUAUGUCUGCCAACACGUUCCUUCAGCAGGAGAUGACUGUGCGCAUGUUGCAAUGCUGUAGUUGUUUUCUGUGGGAAUCUUAGGGAGAAAGAAAAACAACUUCUUGCCUCCUGCAAAUCAACGGCAAGCAAGCUCAUAUUGAUUAACCUAUCAGAGGCUGAGAGGAAUGAGAACAGCAUUGUGGGGUUUGUUGAUCAGAACUUUGAAGAAUACAUGGAACUUUCUGGAGUUUCAGUGCUGCAAGGGGGAGAUUUGAGUCAGGAGCAACUGGCGACGAGGUUGUGUGACACCCUGACAGAUCUGUUAGCAGACAAAUUGAAACUAGUUUCACUUUAAGCAGCAAUGAAAUUAGCAGAAGAGCUAGGCCUUAAUGUAGAUGAAGGGGUGGUCUGUAACAAGGCAAUGGCCACAGUGGAUGAAGUUUUGAAAGGUUUAGAUGAGGGAUCUGCUCAAUUUAGGGAGAAACAGUUUCCUUUGCAAGGACAUUUGUGGAGUAAACUUUGCUGAAAUAGAAAAAGAGGAGAGCAAACAGAGGAAAAAAGGAAAUCAAAGUGAUCCACAACUUCAACAAAAAAAGAAAGACAUCUUGGUUGAGUUGAGCAGUUACAAAAUGACUCCAGCGAUGAAAAUGUUCACUGAUGCGCUUUUCACGACAGAUAAAGUGGAGAGGUCUUAUUUCCUCAGUUGGAUGAAGUUGAGACUUCGAUCGAAGCAAAUCGAAAAACUAAACAGUCCACAAGAUCUAUUCACAAACCUACAGACAGGAAAGAAAGAUGAAAUGCCAGAACAUCAGGAUGAGCUCCAAAAUGGAGCCACUGACUCCCAAACAGACAGUGGUAGUUUCUGCACAGAUUCAACAUUUGAAGAGGAAAGCACUGAAGAGCUGCCUGUAAAAACGGCACUGCAAGUUUCUGAGAAGCAGUUUGAAAUAGGCCAAGAGUUAGAGCAUAUUUUGCAAAAGUCUACAGAAAUGACCGUAGAACCACAGUCACAAUGUAAAGAACAUCUUGAGUCGACACAUGAUCCAGUCAAGGAGCAGCAGUUAUAUCUGACAUCCAACAUAAAAGAGAUUCAGGGUGAAGAACACAUUUCAGAUCGCGUCUUUGAGGACCAAAACCAUAAUUUUGAGUCUGGAGAGAAUAGAGCCUCAAGCUGCCAGUGGAACAAACUAGAUGAACCAGAGCUGACACUAGCUCAGGCAGAUUUGACUUAUUCUGCCAAAGAACAAAUGUGCUUAGAUGUUAGCUUAGAACAUCUGGUAGCCUCAAGAUCACAGCCUAAGGACACUGAUUCAUCCUCGCUGGGGCUUGAGCACUUUUUGCGUGAGAUGGCCCUAAUUUUUGAGCUAACGCAUAUCAGCCCUGGGAGUUGGAGCCCCAAUGUUUUGCGUCUCUCUAGCUUAGCUACAGACCUUCUAAUCUAUGGGAUUCCACUUGAACUAAUGGAUGGAGAUGCCUCACACAUUCCCAUACGCUGGCUGGGCUGUGUCUUUGCAGAGCUCAAACGCCGCCUACCCCAAGAACAGUGCCGGACUCGAGUGCUGACAAACAUUGGAGUACAUCAUGGUAUGAAUGCUGAGGUUCUUUCUGCACUAUUUGGGGUGAAAUUUCCUGAAGGAAAGUGGAGAUCCACUCGAGGGGUUUACAUGGUUGCCUUGUGUCUUCCCGAUAACCUCAGAAUGGAUAAGGAGUGUGAUUUUCUGUUGUUAAUUGAUGUCAAGGUCUUUGCUCAAUGUCUCUUGACAAUAAAAACAUUCUGAUCCACCACAAUGAGAUGGCCACUGUUGCAACAGGCAUGAGUGAUGUUUUAAUGCAAAAUAUCUCAUCACAUGGUGGUACUGAAUUUGAGACUAACUUCACUGUCAUGGUCAAUGCUCUUCUACGCAUCAAAGAAUGUGGCUCCAUGCCCAUUUGCCAACUCCUGGCCCAAGAUGAAGAAAUAAACAGCUUAAUACAAGCAUCACAGUUAAGACGUGUAUCGGAUAUACUUCAGACUGAGACUGGGUACAGAGGAACUAGCAAUGCUGACAACCAGUAUGCAAAGACCAUAAGCUACAUCACCCAUGUCAAAGGGCCUUGGUACAAUAUGUCCCUCUCUGAACCAAUUGAUAAGCAGUAUAGUAAUGCUGUGUUAAAGCUUAAGCUGAACCUGUUUGGGGCAUUGAAGAAGUGUGCAGCUAAGUCUGAAGCCACAGGUCUGCCUGAAUUCAUGAGUCGUUUGUGUGCUAUUUGGGAAGCAGUGAAAACAGAAUCCUUCUCCAUUGGUCUGCAAAAUACUGACAUAGCGUUAGCCUUCUCUUUAAUGUGCACAAAGGUUUCCCAAUGGGAGGACAGUUUCCUGGAAUACAUGGAAAGCUGGCUUAAGGGGGCAACAAAGAAAAUCUUUGCCACAAAGGCAUUAAAUGCUGCAAUCCAAAAUGGCCUUCUGAGCGAGUUGAAUGAUGAAGUCAGAGAGGAAGUCAAAACGGAGGUGGACAAACUUAGUUCAAAAGUAGAGGCCUAUUUGAUAGAAGAUAGUCUUCUACAAAUGAACACAUUCAGGCCAAUCCUAAUGAGCAAUAUGGAUGACCUUCAGGAGCGAAUAACUGAAGAGACAAUACAAAGGUUGGAUGAAGUCAAUGAGAGCCAUCGUUCUUCAACACAGUUGGAAACAUUUGAGACCUUACUGGAAAAAGAAGAAGAAUCAAAGCUACGUGUACUUGUAGAGAACAGCAAGUCAACCAAAGUUCUCUUUCAAGAUACAGAACUAGAAGAGGAGUUUGAGGGUGCAUGGAGUAAGACACUGUCCAACUUUGACUUCAGGCCUUCAGAAACAGAUGAUAUUACUGCAAGAGUGACUCAUAUUCUGAAAGAUAAUCUAAUAAACUGUGGUCUCCAGAAACACAGAAAAAAACUUGAAGUCAUCAUCCAAAAUCAGAAAUCUAGCUUCCAAGUGUUUGAUGAACAUUUUGGAUACCGCAGCAGAUUAAAGCACAUGUUUGAAGACAACAACAGACUGCAGAGGUUAGAAGCUCAACAGGUAGCAUGCAAAAUAAUAGAAGAAUACAAGCAAUUUUUAGCAGAUAAAUUGCGUUUACCAGCAGAUUUCUCUGACAGCUACAUUACAAAACUGUUAGAAAAUGUUGAAAAAGCUUUGAAGGAAAAAUCUAUGCAAAUCAGAUCAACUUUUGAGGUGGAUCUAAAAGUUUAUCUCUGUAGGGCUGCAUGCCAAGACUUUCAAAAACUACAUGACCGCUAUGCCAAAGACAGAGUGCUUCUGACAUGUAUUACUGCAACCAAGAGCACUUACUUGGCAGAGUUUAUCUACCAGUUCAGGAAGAGAGACCAGUGCCAGAGGGUGGCUCAAGCAUUUACUUCCAUGGUCAUCAAACCGACAGUGUUGGAUUACAUCCAUAGACCAUUGGGGAAGCGUAUCAUCGAAGAUCUCCAAAAUAAAGUCCAGCAGUUUCAGUCCCCACGUGCCUUCUUUAAAGCUUGCUGGAGGAAUUGAUAGAAGAGGAUCACUUUGAGAGCUUUCUGGAAUAUUUGCUUUCUUAUGACAACUUCAGAGUGAGGAAAAUUCAGGAGAAAGUGAUGACUCACCUCUCUGAAUCAACCAACUUUAAUAAAUGGAGGCAUCAAAGACUUGGAGAAAUUGUAGGAAAAGUAGCAGCAGCAGUGAGUCAUACAGCAGAAGAUACAAAUGGAGUGCUGAGUGAUACAAAGCCGCUGCUGGAGAGAGUGUGCCUCACUUUAGAUACAGAUGGAGAUGUGGAUGUAAUCAGGGCCCCGCUGGAUGGACCUUUCUUCAGUAUUACCACAAAAUGGGAUUGCUUUGUCACAUGUCUAAUGGAGUUAUUGGCGGCAAUGCGGUUGGACCUGAAUGCAUGGCCCAAGGCAACCUAGGCAUAAGCAAGAGCACACACAAGAUGUCUGUGGCAGACAGGGACCUCCAUUCCCUCUACCCAGACUGGAGCAUCGCCCCUGAGGACCCAAACAGCCAGAUGUCCAGUGCUUACUGGAGGUAUGUCUUGGCGAGGUUCAAUGAGAGGUUUGCAAAGGAAUACGAGCAGGAGCCAGCAGAGAUUCCUGAGGAGUGGGAGAAGAUCACUGAGGCGGAGGCAUUGUCCAGUCUGAGGAAGGGCUUCCUCAGUGAACACUACGAAUUAUAGGACAUGAUUGUAAUUCGCUUUGGAUAAAACUGUCACAAAAAUGUAAUGUAAUGAUGGUCAACAGAUCAAACGGACCAUUCAUUAAAAAUAAUGAUAACUGAUUAGUUUUGAUUUAUUUCUGUUUUUACUACUCUGUGAAUUAUCCCUUUGAAAUAUAUCUAAAAAGUUGAUUCCUUAUUAUCUCACUUUCCUCCACUGCCUACUGAUCUGAAGACAGUGAAGAAUUAUCCGGUCUUCCCAUGCAUUCAAAGCCAACUAAUGACAAAAACCUGUGAUAUAUCAUUUUAAUAUGUGUUUACCUAUAAUUUUAAAAGGAAUAUGUAUGCACUGGGAUUUAGAGAAGGGUAGAACUUGUAAAUUACGUCAUUGCGUCAUACUAAAGUUUUUUUUUCCUGUUGAAUUGCCUCGUCCAUUUGUGUUUGUUUUGAUACAUAAUCACAUGAGUCAAUCUGCCCUGCAGCAAGAUGGAGAAAACAGUUUCACACAGCAGCAGGUUUCCAGAUCCAUAUGAGUGUAAAUAUGGCAGAUUGAUUGAGCACACUGCUCCGUAAAAGAAGGCAGAAUAUAUUUGAUGAAUAAAAAAAUUAUGAUUGCUGAUGGAUAACUGUCUGUACUAGUAUUCAGCUCGGAGGAUGUUCGUUGCUGGGGAUUUUGGC
RNA transcript from Cyclopterus lumpus (lumpfish), 5346 nucleotides. It is a transcript of the gene named interferon-induced very large GTPase 1, with no coding region annotated. NCBI's taxonomy places the organism in Eukaryota, Metazoa, Chordata, Actinopteri, Perciformes, Cyclopteridae. The record is from RefSeq and is a predicted model, not a curated record. The transcript is spliced from 4 exons.